This 371-nucleotide ribosomal RNA is filed under the name uncultured bacterium. RNAcentral describes it as "bacterial SSU rRNA". It matches the Rfam family "Bacterial small subunit ribosomal RNA", at positions 527 to 896 of the family's 1533-position model. The record is from RNAcentral.
AGAGGGGGCCAACGUUAUUCGGAAUUAUUGGGCGUAAAGGGCGCGUAGGCGGCCAUGCGUGUCUUUCGUGAAAUCCCUCGGCUUAACUGAGGACGUGCGGAAGAAACUGCAAGGCUUGAGUCCGGGAGAGGGGGGUGGAAUUCCCAGUGUAGCGGUGAAAUGCGUAGAUAUUGGGAGGAACACCGGUGGCGAAGGCGGCCCCCUGGACCGGUACUGACGCUGAGGCGCGAAAGCGUGGGUAGCAAACGGGAUUAGAUACCCCGGUAGUCCACGCCGUAAACGAUGGGCACUUGGUGUCGCGGGUAUCGACCCCUGCGGUGCCGAAGCUAACGCAUUAAGUGCCCCGCCUGGGGAGUACGGUCGCAAGGCUG